GAUGAAGAACGUAGUGAAAUGCGAUAAGUAAUGUGAAUUGCAGAAUUCAGUGAAUCAUCGAAUCUUUGAACGCACAUUGCGCCCGCCAGUAUUCUGGCGGGCAUGCCUGUUCGAGCGUCAUUUCAACCCUCAGGCCCCCAGUGCCUGGUGUUGGGGAUCGGCCCAGCCUUCCUGUAAGGCCGCCGGCCCCGAAAUCUAGUGGCGGUCUCGCUGUAGUCCUCCUCUGCGUAGUAGCACAACCUCGCAGUUGGAACGCGGCGGUGGCCAUGCCGUUAAACACCCCACUUCUGAAAGUUGACCUCGGAUCAGGUAGUAAUACCCGCUGAACUUAAGCAUAUCAAUAAGCGGAGGA
This 352-nucleotide unclassified non-coding RNA is filed under the name soil metagenome. RNAcentral's name for it is "partial contains 5.8S ribosomal RNA, internal transcribed spacer 2, and large subunit ribosomal RNA". The stretch from base 1 to 120 matches the Rfam family "5.8S ribosomal RNA", at positions 35 to 154 of the family's 154-position model. The record is from RNAcentral.